UCCAGACUCCUACGGGAGGCAGCAGUGGGGAAUAUUGCACAAUGGGGGAAACCCUGAUGCAGCGACGCCGCGUGAGUGAAGAAGUAUCUCGGUACGUAAAGCUCUCUCAGCAGGGAAGAAAAUGACGGUACCUGACUAAGAAGCCCCGGCUAACUACGUGCCAGCAGCCGCGGUAAUACGUAGGGGGCAAGCGUUAUCCGGAUUUACUGGGUGUAAAGGGAGCGUAGACGGUUAUGUAAGUCUGGAGUGAAAGCCCGGGGCCCAACCCCGGGACUGCUUUGGAAACUGUGUAACUGGAGUACAGGAGGGGCAGGCGGAAUUCCUGGUGUAGCGGUGAAAUGCGUAGAUAUCAGGAGGAACACCGGCGGCGAAGGCGGCCUGCUGGACUGAAACUGACGUUGAGGCUCGAAAGCGUGGGGAGCAAACAGGAUUAGAUACCCGAGUA
RNAcentral lists this ribosomal RNA (445 nucleotides) under uncultured bacterium. Its description in RNAcentral is "bacterial SSU rRNA". It matches the Rfam family "Bacterial small subunit ribosomal RNA", at positions 330 to 792 of the family's 1533-position model. The record is from RNAcentral.